UUCACUGUCGUUUGAAAAUAAUUAGGCAAUAUCUCAUCUGAGGUAGGAUGUUUCUAGUGGUUGUGUUCUGAGGGAGAAAAACUAAUCUGUUCUCUUUCCACUGCAUUCUAGGAACAGUAAGAGGACCUUGUGCAUGAAUAAUUUGUUUCCACACUACAGACAGAAGAAUUCCAGACUUCUUAGAGAACCCAGUGACUUUUUGCACCUUAAAUCUGUGAAAUCCUCAUGUUUUCUUCUGCAGUAUCCAUAGUUCAAACAAAGAUGAGGCAAAGCUAGAUGCAUUCCUGAAGGAACCCAAGAAAUUCCUCUCUUUCUGUCUCUGGAAUGAAAUGAAUUCUCUAGACCAUCAGUUCUAACCUUCAAAAACAAACCUGUUUGUGAGAUCUCCUUCAAAUACUACUGUAGACCCCAGUGUUUAUUCAUUAAAUUUUUAAAAUAUUUGUUUUAUUUGGAA
Nomascus leucogenys (northern white-cheeked gibbon) is the source of this 454-nucleotide long non-coding RNA. RefSeq lists it as uncharacterized. The transcript has 2 exons. Lineage: Eukaryota; Metazoa; Chordata; Mammalia; Primates; Hylobatidae. The record is from RefSeq and is a predicted model, not a curated record.